This 506-nucleotide ribosomal RNA is filed under the name uncultured bacterium. RNAcentral's name for it is "partial 16S ribosomal RNA". It matches the Rfam family "Bacterial small subunit ribosomal RNA", at positions 29 to 523 of the family's 1533-position model. The record is from RNAcentral.
AGUGAACGCUGGCGGUAGGCCUAACACAUGCAAGUCGAACGGCAGCACAGGAGAGCUUGCUCUCUGGGUGGCGAGUGGCGGACGGGUGAGGAAUACAUCGGAAUCUACUCUGUCGUGGGGGAUAACGUAGGGAAACUUACGCUAAUACCGCAUACGACCUACGGGUGAAAGCAGGGGACCUUCGGGCCUUGCGCGAUUGAAUGAGCCGAUGUCGGAUUAGCUAGUUGGCGGGGUAAAGGCCCACCAAGGCGACGAUCCGUAGCUGGUCUGAGAGGAUGAUCAGCCACACUGGAACUGAGACACGGUCCAGAAUACUACGGGAGGCAGCAGUGGGGAAUAUUGGACAGUGGGCGCAAGCCUGAUCCAGCCAGACCGCGUGGGUGAAGAAGGCCUUCGGGUUGUAAAGCCCUUUUGUUGGGAAAGAAAUCCAGCUGGCUAAUACCCGGUUGGGAUGACGGUACCCAAAGAAUAAGCACCGGCUAACUUCGUGCCAGCCGCCGCCGUAA